CCGUGUAAUACUCACUCUAAUAC
This 23-nucleotide non-coding RNA is filed under the name Rattus norvegicus (Norway rat). Lineage: Eukaryota; Metazoa; Chordata; Mammalia; Rodentia; Muridae. The record is from RNAcentral.